Molecule: ribosomal RNA, 490 nt
Filed under: uncultured bacterium
Lineage: Bacteria
Description: partial 16S ribosomal RNA
Rfam family: Bacterial small subunit ribosomal RNA
Source: RNAcentral
AAUGAACGCUGGCGGCAGGCCUAACACAUGCAAGUCGAACGACAGCACAAGAGAGCUUGCUCUCUGGGUGGCGAGUGGGGGGGGGGUGAGGCAUGCAUCGGACUCAGCCCAUUUGUGGGGGUUAACCUCGGGAAACCGGGCUUAAUACCGCAUAUGUAUUACGGGUGAAAGUAGGGGAUCUUCGGACCUUGCGCAGAUGGAUGAGACGAUGCCGGGUGAGCUAGUUGGAGGGGUACAGGGCCACCAAGGCGACGAUCCGUAGCUGGUCUGAGAGGGUGAUCAGCCACACUGGGACUGAGACACGGCCCAGACUCCUACGGGAGGCAGCAGUGGGGAAUAUUGGGCAAUGGGCGAAAGCCUGAUCCAGCCAAGCCGCGUGUGUGAAGAAGGCCUUCGGGUUGUAAAGCACUGUUGUUGGGAAAGAAAAGCAGCCGGUUAAUACCCGGUUGUCAUGACGGUACCCAAAGAAUAAGCACCGGCUAACUUCGUG